UACGAAGGGGGCUAGCGUUGCUCGGAAUCACUGGGCGUAAAGGGCGCGUAGGCGGCCGUUCAAGUCGGGGGUGAAAGCCUGUGGCUCAACCACAGAAUUGCCUUCGAUACUGUACGGCUCGAGACCGGAAGAGGUGAGUGGAACUGCGAGUGUAGAGGUGAAAUUCGUAGAUAUUCGCAAGAACACCAGUGGCGAAGGCGGCUCACUGGUCCGGUUCUGACGCUGAGGCGCGAAAGCGUGGGGAGCAAAC
RNAcentral lists this ribosomal RNA (250 nucleotides) under uncultured bacterium. RNAcentral's name for it is "partial 16S ribosomal RNA". It matches the Rfam family "Bacterial small subunit ribosomal RNA", at positions 524 to 773 of the family's 1533-position model. The record is from RNAcentral.